CUUCACCUUAAGACCACAGAGAACUCAGCUUCUUGGAAGAGUAGCAAGGAGACUAAACCAGGAUGUGAGGGAAAUGGUGCUGGAGAGGACGAUCUGUCCCCAGACGGAGAGCCCCACCUCCCAGGCAUGGUGUCCAGAGGCUGGUGGGGAUGACAGUCUGACACCAGGUUCCUGACAUGCAAGGAUGGAUCACGACUAGAGGAAGUUGCAGCAGCUGGGGUGAUAGCGUGCCGGCCACUGCCACGGGAUCACCAGGCCGACAACUGCAGGAGGCACAGUUCCCAGCACAGUCCAUUUGAACGGCACCUGGGGCAAGACAUUUACUGUCCCUCGAAGCCCCAUGCACUUCCUUUAUUCGCUGAUCUUGCACCGGCCAGGCCUUGGGACUAACCCUGCUCAGUUCCCCUUCAUGAGAAAGACUGUCUUGGAUUCUGUGCUGCAGAUGUGGAAACCUCUGUACACACCACGCAUUAUAAUCAGAUAAAGCCCUGGACCCCGUGACGGAUGGCCACGGCAUACCAGCUGCUGUCCACUGACUUCUCUCACUGAGGCUCUUGUCCAGCAGAAGAACUGGGCAUGCUCAUGUUGGCAAGAAAAUGAACCUGAAAUGUGGAAUGUAUUCAGAGACUGGAAGGAGCGAGCCCUUUAUUUGCUUAAGGCUGCUUCCUUGCACCUGAUAUUAAUAAAUGAAAUGAAGGCUGAACAGUGUUUCAAACAACUAUACAAAUUGGAACAUGCUCGUCUAGUCAACAGAAGACGAAGAAAAUCCAGAAGUCGGCAAUAAAUAAACUGAAUAAGCUCAGUCAGUCAUUUCAACUUUCUUUUUGUAAGAUAUUCAUGGGAAUUGGAAUUCUGGAGGAUUGCCAUGAGUUUUUACUUCUUGCAUUGAAUUUGGACUCCCUUUUGCUUUGCGGCAUCGAUCAGAAGAAGGGACUGGGUAUGCCCAGGUCUAAUGCAAAUUUUGCUUCCUGCUAAAAAUUUUUGCAACUAUCAAAAAUGUAUGGGAAGACCACAUUCAUUAAAAUAAUAAUAACUAACAUUUUUCUAAUAUGGGCCAGAUACUGGGCUAAGCGGUUUACAUAAAUUAGCUCAUUUAACCCUAACUCAGCCUCUUUAUAUGUUAUGAGUUCCAUUUUAUGGAUGGGAAAACUGAGAUCCGGAGAGGCCCAGGAACUCACCCAAGGUUACACAUCUAGUAGCUGUUGACACAGGAAUUCAACUCCAUUACCACUAUAUCAUUAGCUGACAUCUCCAUCACACCACAUAAUGACGAUUUCUUUUGUGUGGUGGGAACAUUUAAGAUCUACUCUCUUAACAACUUUCAAGUAGAUAAUACAGUGUUAUUAACUAUAAUCAGCAUGCUGUAUAUUAGAUCUCCAGAACUUACUCAUCCUAUAACUGGAAGUUUGUACCCUUUGACCAGUAUCUCAUUUCCUCCAUCUCCCAACUCCUGGAAACCACCAGUCUACUCUGUUUCUAUGAGUUCAGCUUCUUUAGGUUCCACAUAUAAGUGAUAUCAUACAGUAUUUGUCUUUCUCUGACUUAUUUCACUGAGCAAAAUGCCCUCAGAGUUCAUUCAUGUUGUCACAAAUGGGAGGAUUUCCUUCUGUCUCAUGGAUGAAUAAUAUUCCAUUGUAUGUAUACAGUAAACAUCUUCUUUAUCCAUUCAUCUGUUGAUGGACACUGGGGUUGUUUCCAAGGCUUGACUAUUGUGAAUAAUGCAGCAAUGAACAUGAGGGGGCCGAUAUCUCUUCGAGAUCCUGGUUGCAUUUCCUUUGCAUGUAUACCUGGUUUUAUCUUGUAUUAUAUGAGUAGCACACGCCAAUAGUUUGCACACAGCAGAGGCAGUAAAAUCAGCCACAUUAACAAUUUCCUGUGAAAGGCACAAAGUUAAUGUACAUGAGGCCUCUGCCUAUCAGAAAUUUAUAAUCCAUUGGUAGAGACAAGACGAACAAUUAACUAAACUGUU
This is a long non-coding RNA of Equus caballus (horse), 1969 nucleotides long. NCBI's taxonomy places the organism in Eukaryota, Metazoa, Chordata, Mammalia, Perissodactyla, Equidae. The record is from Ensembl.